RNAcentral lists this ribosomal RNA (253 nucleotides) under uncultured bacterium. RNAcentral's name for it is "partial 16S ribosomal RNA". It matches the Rfam family "Bacterial small subunit ribosomal RNA", at positions 524 to 776 of the family's 1533-position model. The record is from RNAcentral.
UACGAAGGGGGCUAGCGUUGCUCGGAAUCACUGGGCGUAAAGGGUGCGUAGGCGGGUUUUUAAGUCAGAGGUGAAAUCCUGGAGCUCAACUCCAGAACUGCCUUUGAUACUGAAGAUCUUGAGUUCGGGAGAGGUGAGUGGAACUGCGAGUGUAGAGGUGAAAUUCGUAGAUAUUCGCAAGAACACCAGUGGCGAAGGCGGCUCACUGGCCCGAUACUGACGCUGAGGCACGAAAGCUAGGGGAGCAAACGGG